This 253-nucleotide ribosomal RNA is filed under the name uncultured bacterium. Its description in RNAcentral is "partial 16S ribosomal RNA". It matches the Rfam family "Bacterial small subunit ribosomal RNA", at positions 524 to 776 of the family's 1533-position model. The record is from RNAcentral.
GACGAACCGCCCGAACGUUGUUCGGAAUCACUGGGCUUAAAGGGCGCGUAGGCGGGUCGGCAAGUCAGGGGUGAAAGCCCCCAGCUUAACUGGGGAAGUGCCUUUGAUACUGCCGGCCUUGAGGGAGGUAGGGGCGUGCGGAACUUCCGGUGGAGCGGUGAAAUGCGUAGAUAUCGGAAGGAACACCGGUGGCGAAAGCGGCGCGCUGGACCUCUUCUGACGCUGAGGCGCGAAAGCCAGGGGAGCAAACGGG